RNAcentral lists this small RNA (107 nucleotides) under Marmota monax (woodchuck). The record is from RNAcentral. Lineage: Eukaryota; Metazoa; Chordata; Mammalia; Rodentia; Sciuridae.
GCUAGGUAUAGUGGCACAUGCCUGUAAUCCCAGUGACUUGGGAGGCUGAGGCAGGAGGAUCACAAGUUCCAGGCCAGGCUCAGCAACCUAAUGAGACCCUGUCUCAA